GCAGUUGUGUCGGCUGCAGAAGAGUCAUCAUGUAGACCUGGAUUUGAGUCGGAAUCGUUGAUAUUCAAAGUGAACACAAGUACUCUGAAGCCAGGCACAAGACUGGGCAAAGUUGGAUUCACUGACUGCACAGAUCGAAUCCAGUUUCUUUUCAGCACAGAUGACAGUCACUUUGUGUUGAAUUCUGAUGGAGUGUUAAUUGUGAAAAGAGGAGUUGAUCUUGAUGAAGGACAUCAGGACUUUUUUGUCCACUCCUGGGACUCUGAGGGCAACAAAAUGACAGUUCCUGUCAUGGUCCUGCUUGAGCAUCACUAUGAGAGUUGGGAUGCUGAGCAGCACCAUGGAGGCCGCAGACACCAGAACCAUCACAACACUGGGCUGGAUUCUGCCAGUAUU
Oryzias melastigma (Indian medaka) is the source of this 396-nucleotide long non-coding RNA. RefSeq lists it as uncharacterized. NCBI's taxonomy places the organism in Eukaryota, Metazoa, Chordata, Actinopteri, Beloniformes, Adrianichthyidae. The record is from RefSeq and is a predicted model, not a curated record. The transcript has 3 exons.